CCUACGGGAGGCAGCAGCUAAGAAUAUUCCGCAAUGGACGGAAGUCUGACGGAGCGACGCCGCGUGGAUGACGAAGGCCGAAAGGUUGUAAAGUUCUUUUGCUGGGGAAGAAUAACCGCAGGAGGGAAUGCCUGUGGGAUGACAAGAACCGGCGAAUAAGCCCCGGCCAACUACGUGCCAGCAGCCGCGGUAACACGUAGGGGGCGAGCGUUGUUCGGAAUUACUGGGCGUAAAGGGCAUGUAGGCGGCUUGGAAAGCCUGGCGUGAAAGUCUGCAGCUUAACUGCAGGGGUGCGCUGGGAACUGCUGAGCUUGAGUGACGGAGAGGGAGCUGGAAUUCCUGGUGUAGGGGUGAAAUCUGUAGAUAUCAGGAAGAACACCGAUGGCGAAGGCAAGCUCCUGGCCGAUGACUGACGCUGAGGUGCGAAAGUGUGGGGAUC
This 439-nucleotide ribosomal RNA is filed under the name uncultured Treponema sp. Its description in RNAcentral is "bacterial SSU rRNA". It matches the Rfam family "Bacterial small subunit ribosomal RNA", at positions 338 to 769 of the family's 1533-position model. The record is from RNAcentral. Lineage: Bacteria; Pseudomonadati; Spirochaetota; Spirochaetia; Treponematales; Treponemataceae. RNAcentral also lists the same sequence under 1 other name.